RNAcentral lists this ribosomal RNA (494 nucleotides) under Neoscytalidium dimidiatum. Its description in RNAcentral is "eukaryotic LSU rRNA". The stretch from base 173 to 326 matches the Rfam family "5.8S ribosomal RNA". The record is from RNAcentral. Lineage: Eukaryota; Fungi; Ascomycota; Dothideomycetes; Botryosphaeriales; Botryosphaeriaceae.
UGAUUCGGGCUCCGGCCCGAUCCUCCCACCCUUUGUGUACCCACCUCUGUUGCUUUGGCGGGCCGCGGUCCUCCGCGGCCGCCCUCCGUCCGGGGGGUGGCCAGCGCCCGCCAGAGGACCAUCAAACUCCGGUCAGUGAACGUUGCCGUCUGAAAAACAAUCAAUAAACUAAAACUUUCAACAACGGAUCUCUUGGUUCUGGCAUCGAUGAAGAACGCAGCGAAAUGCGAUAAGUAAUGUGAAUUGCAGAAUUCAGUGAAUCAUCGAAUCUUUGAACGCACAUUGCGCCCCUCGGUAUUCCGAGGGGCAUGCCUGUUCGAGCGUCAUUACAACCCUCAAGCUCUGCUUGGUGUUGGGCACCGCCCUUCCGCGGGCGCGCCUCAAAGACCUCGGCGGUGGCGUCUUGCCUCGAGCGUAGUAGAAAACACCUCGCUUUGGAGCGCACGGCGCCGCCCGCCGGACGAACCUUUUGAACUUUCUCAAGGUUGACCUCG